Pelobates cultripes (western spadefoot toad) is the source of this 298-nucleotide non-coding RNA. NCBI's taxonomy places the organism in Eukaryota, Metazoa, Chordata, Amphibia, Anura, Pelobatidae. The record is from the annotation of a GenBank genome assembly.
CCACAGAAUAGGGCAAUAAUGGCUCAGGCCCUGUUCCUUAUAGUAACAGUAUUAAUUUUGGCAGCAAAUUUCAAUUUAAUUUUAGGACACAACUAAAAUCUGAUAGUUUAGUUAAAGCCUCUAUCGUUAUCUUUUGCCCCUUCCACAGACUGUCUCUGUGUCCUCCCAGCCGCUCUAGGUGUCUCUCUCCCAAUCCCUGGUUUGUCUCUUUUGCCCCUUCCACAGCCACUCAGUUAUUUAUUAUUUUUGGCGGCAAAUGUCAAUUUAGUGUUAAUCAUAGACUUGUGACUAAAAAGCC